Molecule: non-coding RNA, 119 nt
Organism: Jatropha curcas
Lineage: Eukaryota; Viridiplantae; Streptophyta; Magnoliopsida; Malpighiales; Euphorbiaceae
Source: RefSeq, a predicted model, not a curated record
CGGAACACGGAAAUGAUUAUUUUGAUUUAAAUCAGCUUAUAAAAUACAAAAUGCGAGGACAAAAGCUGGAAGCAUGUGGCUAAAAAAGGCAGUCCUUUUAAAGGACAAUAAAGAACUGU